ACAUAGUUGUUCAGGGUCAGUGUAACAGCCUUCGCAAAAGGGUUAAUCUAGUUGCAAAGUAUAUGUUUGUUCAAGUCAUUUGCUAGCCCUUUGUUGCAUUGUUCGUAACCUUUCUUUUACUAUGACUUUUUACUUUGCAAAUGCAGAUUAUGUGGGGGUGAAGCAAUGGGGGGAACUUGACGUUCAUUGAUAGUGCAAAUAGGCCUCAGCUUGUGCAGAGGUUUAAAGAGCUUUCCAUCCGGCUUAAGAUCGCCACUAUGCAGCAGUGAAGGUGCAGCUCAACCAUGAUUUGAUUUCUGCCCAGCUCGAUAGUGGUUGCAGUAGCUUCAACUUUUAGUCCAUGCAACAGCGGAGGCAGUCAUGAUUUUUGUCUAUUGACUCUGGAUAUUUAGAAUUUAGAUGGGUGAAAAUGCCUAUGUACAUGUUGCUAAUUUGAUUACUGUUUUUCAAAACUUUGGUUAUGAGAUCCUAAAAGUUGCUUUUUCACUGAAA
This is a long non-coding RNA of Panicum virgatum (switchgrass), 492 nucleotides long. RefSeq lists it as uncharacterized. NCBI's taxonomy places the organism in Eukaryota, Viridiplantae, Streptophyta, Magnoliopsida, Poales, Poaceae. The record is from RefSeq and is a predicted model, not a curated record. The transcript is spliced from 2 exons.